GUUUGUUAUGAAAAUAUUUAUAGUCUAGCCUGCUCACUGAUAUAAUAUAUUAAAUAGCCGCGGUAUCUUGACCGUGCAAAGGUAGCAUAAUCAUUAGUUUUUUAAUUGGAAACUUGUAUGAAUGGUUGGACAAAGAAGAAUCUGUCUCUUUUAUUAAUAUUGAAUUUAACCUCUAAGUGAAAAGGCUUAGAUCUUCUAGAGGGACGAUAAGACCCUAUAAAGCUUUAUAAGUUAAAAAAUUUUAUAUAUUUUUGGUUAAAAAUAAUUUUUUGAGUACUUAUUUGGUUGGGGCGACAAAAGUAUAAAAAGUAACUGCUAAAACUUAAUACAAAAAUAGAUGAUUAAAUAUAUUAAUAGAUCCUUUAUAAGGAUUCUAAGAUCAAGUUACUUUAGGGAUAACAGCGUUAUUUCUCCUGAGAGUUCUUAUCAAAGGAGAAGUUUGCGACCUCGAUGUUGAAUUAAAAUGUCUUUAUAGUGCAGCAGCUAUAAAAGAAGGUCUGUUCGACCUUUAAUAUUUUACAUGA
RNAcentral lists this ribosomal RNA (524 nucleotides) under Thalamitoides tridens. RNAcentral's name for it is "partial 16S ribosomal RNA". It matches the Rfam family "Archaeal large subunit ribosomal RNA", at positions 1908 to 2672 of the family's 2987-position model. Lineage: Eukaryota; Metazoa; Arthropoda; Malacostraca; Decapoda; Portunidae. The record is from RNAcentral.